GGAGGUAUAGCUCAGUGGUAGAGUGCAUGCCUAGCAUGCAUGAGGUCCUGGGUUCAGUCCCCAGUACCUCCA
Molecule: transfer RNA, 72 nt
Filed under: Camelus bactrianus (Bactrian camel)
Lineage: Eukaryota; Metazoa; Chordata; Mammalia; Artiodactyla; Camelidae
Also listed under: 2 other names
Rfam family: tRNA
About the family: Transfer RNA (tRNA) molecules are approximately 80 nucleotides in length.
Source: Rfam by way of RNAcentral